Long non-coding RNA from Capsicum annuum, 2258 nucleotides. RefSeq lists it as uncharacterized. The transcript has 5 exons. The record is from RefSeq and is a predicted model, not a curated record. Lineage: Eukaryota; Viridiplantae; Streptophyta; Magnoliopsida; Solanales; Solanaceae.
UUUUGUAUGAUGAACAAACUGGAGAGGUUAUGGGGUUGUUCUUUAUAUUGAGUUGUUCUAUGCUGCUCAGUUUUACAAUUGCUAGCCUAUCUAGUAGCUUGUUUUGUCAUAUCCCUGUGCUAGGUCAUCAUCUGAUUUGAAGCCUUCAACGAUAGCUUAUGUCAUCUACAGGUCUUCACUCUAAUUUAUAUUCUCAGGUCCCUCUCUUAUAUCUCCAUUAUCUAUUACUUGGUUCCUUAUAUUAGGAUUGUAGUUGAAAAGAACAUUUCAUAAUCAAGAGAAUACCUCUUCACUUUUUGCAAGAGAUCAUCUAAACUCACUAAAAUCAACAAACAAUACAACUUAGCUUCACAAUCUUGUUUCUCUCAGUAAGUAAUAUGCUCAGAACUUGCAAGGAAGAUUCAUACUCGGGUGAUCAAAUAGCGAAAGACAAGGCUUCCCUUCAUGUCUACUCUCUCACACUCCAUCGUAACUUGAAAGAAGGGAACACCUUCAAGUUAGUGUAUCUAGUUAUCUUUUUGCUGAAGCGCCUAUUUACUUCUUGAAAAACAACUUAUACUUCAAGCCUUUACCGUUAAAGAACCAACACUGGUUGUUUCUCCUGGAAAAAAUAUUUGAACAUCAAUGCAAGAAGACUACCUGCAUCUAGAAAUUUACAACAUCUGUUGAUGUACAUAUUGACUUGGAUUAAAGUUGGCAUCAAAUCCUGUUUUUCAUGCGCAGUGUCGUAGAAGGAAAAAAUAUGAAAUGUCAUGCCUUGUCCUCUUACUCCUUCUCAGUAUUAGGAUUGAGAUUCCCUUCGUAUAUCAGCUGUGAUAAAAAAAAUAUAGGUAACACAUAAAGGAGUUUUAAAUUUAGUAGCCGAAUCUAUUUCAAAAUAAUUACUAAUAUAACAAUUAUUGUUGCCUUAUUGUGUUCCAAUUUCAUCCUCCGAUAUUUUUCUUGUGUUUGCUUUGAUCGAAACAUGGAUUGAACUCGCACAACAGAUCUUUCGAUACACUCUUCAACUUUUUUCCUACUGGCUUGGAAGAAAUCCUCCUCCAUAUCAUCGGGUUUGUGAGUAACUACUUGACUAGACUAGAGUUGAAGCUUAUGAAAGCCUUUUUUCUUCAAACACCAAUGAAAUAUUGCCUUUUCAAGCACCCUGACCAAAUUAUCUCUAGGUAAUGCCUUCGAACAUGAAAACCAUUGAACACAGCCCGCAUGACCAGAGGCAGGUUCCAUUAAUAAUGGAUCAUGUUAUUCUGUCAGUUUUAUAGAAAAGACAAAGAGUAAUUGGGAAAACUUGCGAAGUUAUCAUUCUUGUAAGAACUUCUCAAUCAUAUUAACUCAUGUUUAUUGUAGGUGUAUAUCACCAAUUCAUUUAGUUCCAUGCCAAUUUCAUUUACAGAGCAGUUAACUCAAAUAAUUUCACCGGUGAGAUUCCACCAAUUCUUGAUAAUCUGUCAAAACUCUACUGACUUGAUUUAGCAGAUAAUCAGUUAAUCAGAUCGAUUCCUAUUUCAACCUCCUCAAGUUCGGGAUUGGACCUUCUGAAGAAAGAAGAACACUUGUUUGAGUGCAACCUAUUCGUGGACUUCCUCUUUUUUGCAAAGACACAGCCGAGCAUCUUUCAAAAAUUGUUGACAUACUUGUAUAACUCCUGACUGCUGAGAAAAAUAUGGAACGUGAUACAGUAAACAAAGCCCUUUUGUCCUUGUUAAAGCAAGACGUAAAAGAAUGGAUUCAUGAGUCUUGAGGAACUGAAAUAAUCUGCUUUGGCUUUAUGAGACUGAUUCAUUCCCAGGAGUAUUAUUGUCUAAACUAGAGAAUCAUCACAAUGCCGGGAAAACACCAGAUGAUGCAUUCACGGCAGUGUUUGGAAAUGAGAAGCCUGGUCGAGUUAGAGGUUAUGAACGAUCAGUGACAACAACUUCUCUAAAAAAAAGAUGAGGAAAUGAACAAGCUUAAACAAAAGCAUGCUAAUGAAGUCACUUCUAUGAAGAAGAAAUUAUAAGUGAAAUGAGAGAAGAAAUGCGACAAGUUUUUUAGUCAAUCGGUGCAAAACAAUUCUGGAUUGAAUUUUCAAGAUAUACUAGGGAGUGAUGGAUAUAACAUUUCUUUACCUGAUGCGAGUAAUGCACAAGCUGCAAGAGAAAAAAUUCUUUCAAAUUCUUUCGGCUCAGCUCAUGCUUCGGUUCAUGAAAAGAUACUUUAUAUUAGAAAUUCACAAGAAAUUUAAAUCCUGAACUUUUAACUUUAUUGAAUGAAUUAAAGAA